RNAcentral lists this long non-coding RNA (1481 nucleotides) under Olea europaea subsp. europaea. Lineage: Eukaryota; Viridiplantae; Streptophyta; Magnoliopsida; Lamiales; Oleaceae. The record is from RNAcentral.
AAAAAGAUCAGAAUAUAAUACCAAGUCCAUGACUUCAUACACAAGAGAGGCAGUUUAUAUUCUAUUCUAGUGCCUAUAAAAUAGCUAUAUCUUUUACUUGAAUUAUAAAAAAAUAAAAAAAUAAAAUUAAUUAAUUACAUUGAUACAGGUUAUUUGCUUUCCUACUUUAAUAUUACAGUAAAAUAUACAUCUUUCCUAUUUUACUUGAUUGUCUUCAACACUCCCCUUCAAGUUGAAGUGGAUGUUGACGACCACCCAACUUGUUAAGUAGUACUUCAACCUCUGAUGUACUCAAUGCCUUAGUAAAUAAGUCUGCAGUUUGAUCAUUGGUCCUCACAUGCGCUGUUCUGAUCAAGCCUUCUUGAAUAUUUUCUCGAACUAAAUGGCAAUCAAUUUCAAUAUGCUUUGUUCGUUCAUGAAAAAUUGGAUUUGAGGCAAUACGUAAAGCAGCUCAGUUAUCAUAGAACAACAUGACUGGUUGAGGAUGCUUGACUCCCAAGUUUUUCAAGACGUUUUUCAACUUAGUAAUUUCACAUCCUAUAUUAGACAAAGCGCGAUACUCUGCCUUGACAAUUGAUUGGGCCACCGUAGUCUGCUUAUUUUUUUCUGGUAAAUGAAUGAUACUCCAAGAAAUACAAAAUAUCCUGUUAUAGAUCUUCUUGCGUCCUUGCAACGUGCCCAAUCCGCAUCACAAAAUGCCUUUAAUUGAAGUGUGCUUUGGAGAAAAUUAAAAUACCUUGUUUGCUUCAAGUAUUUAAGGACUCUGUGCUGCCUCAAGAUGUGUUACAUGUGGUUUGUCCAUAAAUUGAUUUAAAGCAUGAACAACAUAGACCAAAUCUGGUCUAGUAAUAUUUUAGUAGAUUAAUCUUCCCACAAGGCGCCUAUUUGGCGAAGGAUCACCAAAAAGGUCUCCAUCGGAUUGUGUAAGAACCAAGUUUUAUUCCUUUGGAAACCAUGUUGAUUUAGGUCCCAAAAAUCCAACAUCUUCCAGUAUCUCCAAUGCAUACUAUGACAUGACCUGUCCCGAAUCACCUUAAUGGAUUCGACACGUGUCAUGCACCGAUGGUAGACACCAGCUAAACACCGGACCCACCACCAAAGCAACUUGACUUGCUUGAUUGAAAAAUAUUUUUAACAAAAUUAUGACAGAGUUCCCCUUGAAAUAUGAACUAAAAUCACCUUAACAAUAAUUAGUUUUCUUCAAAUCAAUACCUACAAUAUAAAUAGGAUACGACAAUUCUUCAAAAUACAAAUUAUUCAAAUAAAAUGUGGGCAAAUCAACAUUUCCUUUCUUUACAACCAACAAUUCUCAAAUAUACUAAAGACGCCAAAUAUGCAGUGAACACAUGAUAACCUUUUCUGACAUAAACUACAUAUAAUCCAAAGAAACAUGUACUACAUAGUCUGGAAAAGUAGGUCAUACAAUCUAUGAUGCGUAGCUCAAUAUGGCGGAUCAACAGGCUUUGGAGCUGCUCAAUUCA